Molecule: transfer RNA, 75 nt
Filed under: Sunxiuqinia dokdonensis
Lineage: Bacteria; Pseudomonadati; Bacteroidota; Bacteroidia; Marinilabiliales; Prolixibacteraceae
Description: tRNA-Thr
Rfam family: tRNA
About the family: Transfer RNA (tRNA) molecules are approximately 80 nucleotides in length.
Source: RNAcentral
GCCGGGGUAGCUCAGGGGUAGAGCGCAUCCUUGGUAAGGAUGAGGUCACGAGUUCAAUUCUCGUCCUCGGCUCAA